This is a long non-coding RNA of Papaver somniferum (opium poppy), 215 nucleotides long. RefSeq lists it as uncharacterized. The transcript has 2 exons. The record is from RefSeq and is a predicted model, not a curated record. NCBI's taxonomy places the organism in Eukaryota, Viridiplantae, Streptophyta, Magnoliopsida, Ranunculales, Papaveraceae.
UUAGACCCCCUCGCACAUCACACGCAGCCUCUCAGUUGUCACGCACUGAUCUGCCAAAGAUUAACAAAGGAGGAAGAGGGGAUGCUCUUAAUGCAAAGCUUAAUGAUCACAUAAGGAAAAAGAAAGAAAAGCCUACAAUAACGAUCAAACCAGGUAAUAAGAUUCCAACUGGGGAUUGGGCCACUGAAUUCCAAACUGAAAUAGGAAUCAUCGUC